UACGGUUGUCCCACAAUGUCGUCUCUGUGAAAUCGAAAUAGUUUUCUUGUUCGUUUAUUCCGUCAGUUAUUUACAAUUUUGUUUGUGUGCUGCUGGACUACUACAGGCGUUUCCUGAAUGAUUGCAGCUAUCCUGGUUUUAUUUUUGCUUUGUUAUUUAAAUGUAUUGAAUGAACGAAGGUGCGUGACUCAUCGUUGAUUUUCCCGCCAUGUUGAGUUGGCUUCAAAAUACCUGCAGAAGAAAGUCGAAUGAAUCCGGCUCGGUGACAACUCGUCAAGACGUCAAGUCAGUUUCUUGAAAGACGGAUCAACCCUGCGUUUUUGUUUUCAUUUUCUGGAUGUGGAACUAUUAGAGUGCAAUGAUUUGCAGCCGGAAGUUGCAAUGGACCUUUUCGUGAGGAUAAAGUGGAACGUACCCACGUCUCAGGAUGUCGUUUACAUUUCACUACACACCGUGCUACUACACAUCUACAAUAACAGCUAAACUAUGAGUCUAGGAGUAGUUUGGUCUAAGGAGUUGGCAGCCAUCAAACGGAUUUACGGAUUCCGUCGCCCGCCUCACCUGCUGCCUCACCGGUGAUGCCCAUCAGCCAAACUGCCAAAGUUGUUCCGGUCUUCGUCCCCGAACCGGUGGCUGCUCCGCGUUCCGUCGUUCCGGUUGUUGUUGCUGCUGCCCAACAACAAUCCGAGCCCAUGAAAUCGUCGCCGGUAACGGCGAGGAAACCCAAAGACAAUCCGGCCGUCAGCACUGCGCCUCUUCCGGCUAAAAGGUUGUCCCAUUUAGCCUUACCUUCGGCCCUUCCUAGGAAAUCCAUUCGCCCGGAAGAAAAGGUGGAAGAAGUGAUGAAACCGAAAGAAGAGGAAACGCCCAUCGCCAUCGAACCCCCGGUAGUCCAGCCACCAAUCCAGCCGCCAAUACAGCCACUAAUGCAGCCGGAAGAAACAGCUGAAGUUGUCGCCAGUGCUGUUCCAUCAGUCCAACAGCCGAAUGCUGCUGUUUCAACACCGGAAGUUAGCAUCCGGACGAAGGGAGGAGCGUGAAAGUCACCAGUUCCGGCCAGCAGACGACGUUGACCUUUCAGAAAAAGUCAUCCGCCAAUUCCGAUGAGAAUAAGAACCCGAGGCGGAUCGGAGUUGCAUCGUCGACGACACUUUCAGGAUAUUGGAACUAUUAGAGCGCAAUGAUUUGCAGCCGGAAGUAGCAAUGGACCUUUUCGUGAGGAUAAAGUGGAACGUUUACAGCCCAAGAUGUCGUUUGUGCAACUUCACAUCUACGGCG
This is a long non-coding RNA of Daphnia pulex (common water flea), 1278 nucleotides long. RefSeq lists it as uncharacterized. The transcript has 5 exons. Lineage: Eukaryota; Metazoa; Arthropoda; Branchiopoda; Diplostraca; Daphniidae. The record is from RefSeq and is a predicted model, not a curated record.